Molecule: ribosomal RNA, 512 nt
Filed under: uncultured bacterium
Lineage: Bacteria
Description: partial 16S ribosomal RNA
Rfam family: Bacterial small subunit ribosomal RNA
Source: RNAcentral
GACGAACGCUGGCGGCGUGCCUAAUACAUGCAAGUCGAGCGAACUUGCGGGAGCUUGCUCCCUGAGGUUAGCGGCGGACGGGUGAGUAACACGUGGGCAACCUGCCUAUAAGACUGGGAUAACUUCGGGAAACCGGAGCUAAUACCGGAUAAUUCAUAUCUACUCAUGUAGGUAUGCUGAAAGACGGUUUACGCUGUCACUUGUAGAUGGGCCCGCGGCGCAUUAGCUAGUUGGUGAGGUAACGGCUCACCAAGGCGACGAUGCGUAGCCGACCUGAGAGGGUGAUCGGCCACACUGGGACUGAGACACGGCCCAGACUCCUACGGGAGGCAGCAGUAGGGAAUCUUCCGCAAUGGACGAAAGUCUGACGGAGCAACGCCGCGUGAGUGAUGAAGGUUUUCGGAUCGUAAAACUCUGUUGUUAGGGAAGAACAAGUACUAGAGUAACUGCUAGUACCUUGACGGUACCUAACCAGAAAGCCACGGCUAACUACGUGCCAGCCGCCGCGGUAA